GGUUGCUGAUGCUGUUGUAGAAGGUGAACCCGGAACUCAGCAGCGACGUGCACAGGCUGAGCACCAGCAGCAGGACGACCACCAAGUGGAGCGUUCUUCGGGAAGAAUUGUUCAACUUCUCUAGAACUAAAGCAGCGUUGGGUCAGCACGGAGCCCAAAAUGCAAACCCCAGCCCUACAGACGGGAGGGCCGCUCCCCGCCACCCGGGUGGCUCUUGGACUCCAUCCGCUUGGGCACCGGGGUUAGGAGCUGCAGGGGGCAUCUCGGUGUGCCAGAGCAGGAAGGGGCGGGGCCUCACAAUGCUCAGGCCCCCCUUGAAUGUGUGUAACCACAGGACCGUCCCAAUUUCAAUUUCCCAGAGGAAAGAGGGUGCCCUCCUCGAUAGAGCGGCUACAGGGCUGGACGGCCGUCCUCAGUGCGUUCUGGCCUCAGACGCCUGCCAUGGAAAUUUCCACAUCAUCACGGACAGUGUCCCCCCCGCUCGGAGCACUACGAUGCUUCCACUUGGGGGGACUUAUAGGAGGCCACUCUGAAAACCUGUGACAGAGAGGAUCUGGCAGAGGCUGAGAUUUCGGAGGUCGGCUCGUUACAGAGAAGGCCAGGAGGAGAGGAACUGAUGGUGACCAGGUAGCUGGCCCUGGAGACAGGCAGAUGACUGCUGUGUGGACAAGUGAGGUGUCUCCACACUUCCCGACUUCACUUCCCCGGAGCCGGAGAGGACCCAGGGCCCACGUGGCUCGAAUGCAUGCGGAGGGUGGACCUUGGGUGAACCAUCAGAAUUCUCUCCGAGCUGAAUUCCUCUGGGUCCUGACGGCAUUUUAUAAAACGCGCGUAUCUCUUACGUGCAGAGGGGCGCCAGGCAUGAAUACGCACUCGCAUCCGAAACACAGAUGCCCCGGGCCCCUAGCCAUCAGUUCCUGCUUUUGCCAUCCUGCUGUUUCUAACCGCAACCAGCCACCCUCCCCGUGUCCCUGCUUCCUCUGCUCACUCCUCUGUUUACGACACCGAACGACCGGUGACCGGAGGCAUGUGUCCCCACGCUUACCUGUAACCCCAGCCAGGCACUUACAGAACGUCUCCAAAGGCUACCGGUGCGUUUUGGGGCCCUGGUGACUGCCACCACAUUGACUAAAGUGUUUACCAAGAUGUUCUGUGAAAGCCACGGCGACGUACAGAAAAAAUAAUCGGGGAAAAAGGUUUCCGAGCUCCUAGUAUCACGCUAACAAAACCCUUGGGAGUUGCCAGAUGUAAGAACCGUGACUAGGGGGCUGGUAAGAGAAAGUAAAAGCCUUCUUCUUUCCCUUCCUGUUUCUCAGGCCCCUGGGAUAGAGCAGAGAGCCACUCACAGCCUCACCACAGAGCAGCUUUAAAGAACAGAAACCAGAAGGGCCAGGAAAGAUCCCUUGUCCCAGGGCUCGGGGGCCCCUUGUCUCUGUCUCUGGUCCCAAUGCUUCAAAGAACAGGAGCCCCAGGGCCUUGUGCGCACCAGGGAGAAGCGUCCUAGCAGCAAGGGGCCCUCUCUUUGCAAGGUGUCUCCUUCUCAUCACUGUGUCGCCUCCGUUAUUCGAAAUCUCUUCACCGUGCUGUGCCCAGAUGCGUAUCUCCAGGACUUCUGCCCAGAGUCCUGAUGCUUCCUCUGGAGCAACACAGGAUCCCCUUGCUCCGCUCUGCCUGGCAGCCUUUCAGGUAUUUGAAGAGAGAUCGAAACCCCAGUGUGAUUGACAGCCCGCGUCUCCGGAAUGUUCUUUGUCAGGCAUGAUUCCAAAGCUCCUGCCAGCCUGACCCCAGCUCUGUACACACUUUACUCUGACUGCAAGCUUCAAAACAUGCUGGCCAGAGGGCACAGCUCUCCCGGGGUCCGAACAUCUACAUUGUGAGUUCAGAUUUGUGGCUGUUAAUCAGCCGUCCUCUAGGAGGGAGACAGACUUCCUGUCAUUGGACAGUGGGCAGCGAGAGGCUGCAGAAACCAAACUGGCGAAAACAAGAGCAGAGACUUGCAUACUGCCCCGUGCAGCCCUGGGAGCCCUGUGGGGGAGCACAGAGGCAGAAGAGGGGGGUUCCCAGCCCAGCGACAUGGACACGAUGACGUCACCGCCCUUGGCUGGAGAACAUUUUGCUCCUCGGUGAGAGGCGGGCCUGAGAGCAAAGUUCACCUCCCACACGGCCAGUCCCCUUGUGCCCAGCGGUACUUGGACUUCUGCUAAUGACCCACGGGCAGGGCCAAGUCCUUAGCACAGCUCUCUGUGUGACGCAUCCCAGGGCCAAGCGUUGGAAUCAGGAAAACCACCUCACAAUUGGAACUAAUUGCCCAGAUUCUGGCAACCUCAGGAAAGAGGCCAUGGCCCCCACAGCUGGGAGGCAGAAAUGUGCUGGGGGCAGUGGGCAGUGUGCAGAAAUGGGUCAUCUGGACAUCCGGGCUUUCUAUGCGUGGAGAUUUAACCCUUCGGGACCCACUAGCCAUCUGGUCCUUCUAGCUCUGGUUUUCCAGAAGUCCUCAGAACUCAGGGGAGAGCCAGUGGCUUUGUGGGUGGGUGGGAACUGCCACCACCCGCUCCUCAAACACCUGGUCAUCAGGGAGCCUGGCCUGGUGGACCCCUCAGCCCGUGGACCACAGCGUACCCCUAACAGGCUGGGCCUUUGAGAUCUUCCAAAAAGUCCCAGCUGGCAUGACGAGCCUCUGGGAAAUGUAUCUGGGUUCUCUCGGGGAGAGAGGGAGGGAGAGUGCAUUUUCCACCCUUAUGCUCCAUCACCCAGCGUGGUCAUGUCUCUGGGGACAAGUAACAAGUUGCUCGUCCUUGGAAAAGCAUAGGUGUAUAUGGGGUGGGGUAGGCGAGUAGGAGUAUUAAGGAAGAAAUAAGCCUCUUUUGUUCAUCUCCUUGCAAUUCAUUGAUUUUUGCAGCAGAUUUACUUUUUCUAUUUAUUGGUAGCUUGGGCCAAUAGUGCAAUUUUGGGUCCCCCGAGAACAAACUGGGUAGGUGGAGAAAAGAGACUGGUGGGCCAGUUUGUUUGUUUGUUUGUUUGUUUGUUGUUGUUGUUUUGGGUGGGGGGGAAGAUUGCAGACUGGGUGAAAUUCUCCCUUGCUCUCAUAGCAACCUGCACCACCUGAUUUAACUGAUGGGGGCCUUUCUCCAGAUAGAAGCUAUGGUGAGUUGACCAAGGCCAGCAGCCAUGUGCAACGCCUCUCAUAUCCCCUCCCCUCCCUCAUGAAGCAGCUGCUCAGGGAAGUGUUUUGGACUGACAUUCACUAUCCAGAACUUUUGGAGUAGCAAAAGCCAGGUGCUUACUGGUAGACACAGGGCCUGUAACUCUUCAUCUGGAUAUUGAACAAACCUGGAGACCACUAGAAGAAGCUAGGAGAUGUCCCGGUCAGGCUGAGCUGCCCAAAUAAUCUAGCGACACACUGGAGAGUUUGCUUUCCAGGUUUGGCUGAAUAUUUCCCCCACCGGUUGACAUAUUGGUGGCUGGAUUCUUCUGGCAUGUGGAUAUCAGCCAUUGUCCCUUUAUGCUGUGCUGUCAUUUCCAAAUCUACAGCCCCCGUCGGCACGAUAUGUUCAAUCCCAUGCAGAAAUAUUGCAGAGCUUGGCAAUAGUAACUAUUCUUUGGAGAUCUUCAGGCCAAGAAGCUGGCAUGGUUGACAUCUUAUUAAAUGGAAAGGUUAGCCCUUCACUGCUGGGGAAGGAAGUGGCAUUUAUACAGAUACUAUUAUACCGCCGAUGAUCGGUUGCUGAUUUGAGAUGAGCCCCAGGUGGUCAUGGGAAACCAGCAGAGCAGCACCCCUUCCUCAGUCUCCAAUUCUGCUCUCCGGGGAAAACAUCCCUGGGUCUGCAGCGGCUGAACACCACGAUAUACGUCCUAGUUACAUGACGUUUCCCUAUCUUGGAGAACUGUUGAGUACUCCAAGUUCAAGGGUUGUAAAAACCAUCAGCAAGGAAGCCCCCAUAGGCUCUGGGGAGCCCUUAGCAGACAUGAGCUGGAGCAGCUGAACUGUGUGCCUUCACUGAUCAGGACGUGGUUUAUCUUCUACGGCACCUAGAGGCUGGCAGUGACUUCACAACAUUGGAACGCGGCUCUGCAGUAACAGAGUAAAAGCAGAGAGCCAGGCAACGCAAAGGCAAAUGUGGGCCCUGAGCCUUCAGGAUUGUCCCAGCCUACGCCCACCCCUGCCCUCUCCACUCCAUGGUGCCCACUUCCCUCACACGGGGCUGCAGAGCCAGGCUGGGACCUACCCUUGCGGCCUCUGACGUUCCCUGACACAGGGAAGCAGGGCUCUCCCUGAAGCCACGUCUCUCAAAUUGGAGCGGACUGAUUCCAAACAGACACAGCAUGAAAAUCAAAAAAUUCGCAGGCUGCUAUCACAUAUUUUAAAAAAUGUUAAAUGUGUGUGGAGAUUCAGGAACUAUGACACAUUCUGGCUUUGAAAAUGCUAUUCACAUCCUGAAUGUGUGACUGAAUCUUGGAAAGUCUUAGCUUCUGGGUGCCACAAAAGGAAUAUUCCUCCUUUCCUUGAGAAGCUGAGGUCAGGGCUGGAGGGGGGGACGGGGAGGGAGGUGGCAUUACCUACAGGCUGGAGGAGACGUUGCUUUUGCUAAUGUCUUAAAAGACAAAUUCUAUAACUUGGAAAUACAACCACGUUGCUCAAACUCAGACUAAAGGCUUGAGUCUAAGGCUCCAACUCAAACUAAAUAUUACAUUUGUACGAGAUAGAAAACCAUGCACAAGUCAAGAGGUAAUGACUGUAUCGGGCUGAUAAUGCCUGGCUACCUGUAUGCAACACUGUUUAAUGCAAGGUCAAGUUGCUGAAUAAGUUACAAAGACCGCUCUUAAUUUUUGAAAAUGUAGUGGUAUAUGUUCAAUCUUCAAAAGUCAAAUAGGUAGCUAAAUUCAACUUAGCAUUCUCAGUGAAUUUUUGUGUUCCACCCAUCAAGAGAGGAGAGCAUUAUUAUACAAGAAAUCAGAAAAAAAAAUGGGGCAUUCCUACAAAACAUGCAAUUAAUAGAAUUAACAGAAAUUUAGUACCAGGUCUGACAAAAAUGAGAUGUUUUGGAGGUAAAAAUUCAAAUUCGAGUAGAUUAAAGAAAUGAACUGGAGAUCUAAGAAGGAGAACCUGAUCACAUUUUCCACUUUAGUUUUUCCUUGCCACCAACAAAGUUCUGAACAGGGACUGUUACCCCAUCUAAAAAUCCACCAUCCAUACGCAUACUUUUCCUACUACCCUCCUAUGUUGGAUACCAUAUUCCUGCUACAUAUAUUUAAUUAAUUAGUUACUUGUCAGUAGACUUGGUAAUAUCACUUAAACAUCGCCUCUGCCAGAAUUAUGUGGACCACGGUGCUCAUAGACACAACCAGAACUGAGGAAGCUAAAACAAUAAUGUGGUGAAGUUUCAAAAUUAAAGAUAUAUUUUCAUACCUACAAGCCAUCUCAACGCUUACAAGGAGAUCAUUUUUGAACAGUUCUUUGGCCCAUAAGGAGGAUGACUUGGGUCUUACCCAGCUAACACAGUCUCACUGCACCCCAUUCAGAUUAAUUUAUCAUUUACCUGCAAAGCCUUUUUGUGAUUCCUCAAGUCCAUGACUGAAUUCUUGGUGACUCUUGCCUUGAAAAAGUCCAUAGGUGAUAACAAGACUACCGUUUGAAGACGAGUCACUGAUGGCAAUUUGACUGCUGACCCAUUCUUGAGUCCCGAGCAUGGAGCAGACUACGAUGAAUGACCCGAAGCUUGUAAAGAAGCUGGAUAAAAACAUCAGUGUUUUCUUCUUCGUAGGCAUCUUCUCAGGAAAGUAGGGGUCCUAAGGUUAAAAAAAUAUCAAAGGUCUUUUGAUAAUAUUUUUGGACCCACUUGGAGUCCAGUAUUUAGAAAUGGAGUCGAAUGCUUCUUAUAAAAUAUGAAAGCUGGCUCUUCAUAGGAAGGAAUAUACCAAGGACCAUUGGACUAUGAACAUGGCCAUAAAGAUUUACAGCACCUGAACUUUGGUCUGGAGUAAGGGGUUGCUAUGGUUACAGCCAACCAGUGGAAACAAGGGCUAGGCAUGGUCUUCCUAAGGACUUCCUGGAUCACACAAUUAAUUUAUAACUCUUUGCCAUGCGCCCUCGAAGCAAGUUCAGCCUACCAUGUCAGGACAGGACUAGAAUCCCUAAAAAAAUGUGGAUCUGUCCUUCAAAAAUGUUGCUGAUUCUAGCAGCCAACAACAUAGACUUGCUUUACUGGUUAAGGACUUGACCCUAACAACAGUUCAAAAAGAACCCUAAGAAGAUUAAGUCUUUGCUAAAGGCUCUAUGGAACGAAAAGAGAAAAGUUUACAAGCUCCUUAGUUUUUGACUUUGCUAGAGAGGUGCACGUUUGAAAUUUCCUCUUCCAAACUAGACUAUAUUUGUACGUUAUUUAAAUUAUAACUUGAGAAGGUACAUCUUUAUUUGUCUUUCGUGCUCUGAUGGAAAUGGUUCUGAACAUUCUGGCAUUAGGGCUUUCUGCCACCUAUCCAUCCUCCCUGUUAAGCAACUAAUGGUUUACCAAUGCUCCUUUCUGUCUCUCAGAGAAACUCCCCCACACUGCAAGCAGAUCACUUCACGAGAUAAUAAAAAGAUGUCCACAACG
Long non-coding RNA from Leopardus geoffroyi (Geoffroy's cat), 6593 nucleotides. RefSeq lists it as uncharacterized. NCBI's taxonomy places the organism in Eukaryota, Metazoa, Chordata, Mammalia, Carnivora, Felidae. The record is from RefSeq and is a predicted model, not a curated record. The transcript has 2 exons.